Molecule: ribosomal RNA, 439 nt
Filed under: uncultured bacterium
Lineage: Bacteria
Description: bacterial SSU rRNA
Rfam family: Bacterial small subunit ribosomal RNA
Source: RNAcentral
AUGGGAACGCGAAGAACCUUACCUGGCCUUGACAUGCUGAGAAGUCUGUAGAGAUACGGAUGUGCCUUCGGGAACUCAGACACAGGUGCUGCAUGGCUGUCGUCAGCUCGUGUUGUGAAAUGUUGGGUUAAGUCCCGCAACGAGCGCAACCCUUAUCCUUUGUUGCCAGCGGUUAGGCCGGGAACUCAAAGGAGACUGCCAGUGAUAAACUGGAGGAAGGUGGGGAUGACGUCAAGUCAUCAUGGCCCUUACGAGUAGGGCUACACACGUGCUACAAUGGCGCAUACAAAGAGAAGCGACCUCGCGAGAGCAAGCGGACCUCAUAAAGUGCGUCGUAGUCCGGAUUGGAGUCUGCAACUCGACUCCAUGAAGUCGGAAUCGCUAGUAAUCGUAGAUCAGAAUGCUACGGUGAAUACGUUCCCGGGUCUUGUACACACCG